UCAGACUGCUAGCUGGAAUGGACUGAUGUAGUGAAGAUGGUGAAAACUACAUGCGUAUAUUCUGGCAGAGAGUCUGA
Gallus gallus (chicken) is the source of this 77-nucleotide microRNA precursor. The record is from Ensembl. Lineage: Eukaryota; Metazoa; Chordata; Aves; Galliformes; Phasianidae.